RNAcentral lists this ribosomal RNA (257 nucleotides) under uncultured bacterium. RNAcentral describes it as "partial 16S ribosomal RNA". It matches the Rfam family "Bacterial small subunit ribosomal RNA", at positions 524 to 776 of the family's 1533-position model. The record is from RNAcentral.
UACAGAGGUCCCAAGCGUUUGUUCGGAUUCACUGGGCGUAAAGGGUGCGUAGGUGGUUAGGUAAGUCCGAUGUGAAAUCUCCAGGCUCAACCUGGAAAUGGCAUUGGAUACUAUUAGCUUGAGGAGUGGAGGGGGGGACUGGAAUUCUCGGUGUAGCAGUGAAAUGCGUAGAUAUCGAGAGGAACACCAGUGGCGAAGGCGAGUCCCUGGACACUUCCUGACACUGAGGCACGGAAAGCUAGGGGGAGCGAAACAGG